Molecule: ribosomal RNA, 702 nt
Filed under: uncultured bacterium
Lineage: Bacteria
Description: bacterial SSU rRNA
Rfam family: Bacterial small subunit ribosomal RNA
Source: RNAcentral
AACGCUGGCGGCGUGCCUAAUACAUGCAAGUCGAGCGAGCUUGCCUAGAUGAUUUUAGUGCUUGCACUAAAUGAAACUAGAUACAAGCGAGCGGCGGACGGGUGAGUAACACGUGGGUAACCUGCCCAAGAGACUGGGAUAACACCUGGAAACAGAUGCUAAUACCGGAUAACAACACUAGACGCAUGUCUAGAGUUUGAAAGAUGGUUCUGCUAUCACUCUUGGAUGGACCUGCGGUGCAUUAGCUAGUUGGUAAGGUAACGGCUUACCAAGGCAAUGAUGCAUAGCCGAGUUGAGAGACUGAUCGGCCACAUUGGGACUGAGACACGGCCCAAACUCCUACGGGAGGCAGCAGUAGGGAAUCUUCCACAAUGGACGAAAGUCUGAUGGAGCAACGCCGCGUGAGUGAAGAAGGGUUUCGGCUCGUAAAGCUCUGUUGGUAGUGAAGAAAGAUAGAGGUAGUAACUGGCCUUUAUUUGACGGUAAUUACUUAGAAAGUCACGGCUAACUACGUGCCAGCAGCCGCGGUAAUACGUAGGUGGCAAGCGUUGUCCGGAUUUAUUGGGCGUAAAGCGAGUGCAGGCGGUUCAAUAAGUCUGAUGUGAAAGCCUUCGGCUCAACCGGAGAAUUGCAUCAGAAACUGUUGAACUUGAGUGCAGAAGAGGAGAGUGGAACUCCAUGUGUAGCGGUGAAAUGCGUAGA